This 464-nucleotide ribosomal RNA is filed under the name uncultured Pseudomonadaceae bacterium. RNAcentral's name for it is "partial 16S ribosomal RNA". It matches the Rfam family "Bacterial small subunit ribosomal RNA", at positions 338 to 794 of the family's 1533-position model. The record is from RNAcentral. Lineage: Bacteria; Pseudomonadati; Pseudomonadota; Gammaproteobacteria; Pseudomonadales; Pseudomonadaceae.
CCUACGGGAGGCAGCAGUGGGGAAUAUUGGACAAUGGGCGAAAGCCUGAUCCAGCCAUGCCGCGUGUGUGAAGAAGGUCUUCGGAUUGUAAAGCACUUUAAGUUGGGAGGAAGGGCAGUUACCUAAUACGUGAUUGUUUUGACGUUACCGACAGGAUAAGCACCGGCUAACUCUGUGCCAGCAGCCGCGGUAAUACAGAGGGUGCAAGCGUUAAUCGGAAUUACUGGGCGUAAAGCGCGCGUAGGUGGUUAGUUAAGUUGGAUGUAAAAUCCCCGGGCUCAACCUGGGAACUGCAUUCAAAACUGACUGACUAGAGUAUGGUAGAGGGUGGUGGAAUUUCCGGUGUAGCGGUAAAAUGCGUAGAUAUAGGAAGGAACACCAGUGGCGAGGGCGACCCCCUGGACUGAAACUGACACUGAGGUGCGAAAGCGGGGGGAGCAAACAGGAUUAGAUCCCCCUGUAGU